This is a long non-coding RNA of Gallus gallus (chicken), 1964 nucleotides long. Lineage: Eukaryota; Metazoa; Chordata; Aves; Galliformes; Phasianidae. The record is from Ensembl.
GAAGAACUGGAAGUUUUUUUCACCAAUGUGCUGAUGAAGAAAAUGGUAACACCUGAAGAUAUAGAAGGCAGAACAAGGAACUCCUACAUGCUUCAGCUACAGCUUGUACUAAGUGAUUUAUGCAUAAGAUAGCACAUCCUGUUACGCUUCAGGAAAGAAGAAUAUUGGUUGUAUGAGAGAGUUCUGAAAAUGGGGCUGUGAUCCACUCACAGGCCAGCUACCUUAUUCAAAUCCUUUGAAGCUCUGUGUGAUUUCUGAAUGGAAUUUCUCUGCUCCCAGGUGGUUGACAUUGCUUUAAGCAAGUCCCAAGUCUUGCUAGGAGCGAGAGGCUAAAACUGCCUCCUGGGCAGGCUGCUGACCUGGAAUGGCUUCAUUUCCUUGAUCUGGCACAGUUUUCCUCUGCAGUUUUGAACAUAUCAUUUAAUUGCUAAAAGCCUGAAUUUUCUUAUCUGUACACUGUCAAGAGAUAACAGUGCCUCCUUGCAUCCGUAUCCAUUGUAUCAGUAGAAGGAGGUGCACUCAAGUUUGCUUGGCAAAACAAAGACCUUGUUGUCUCAGAAGGGCUCAAUCUCUGCAUACCAUCAGCUCUGGUGUCUUGUCCAGUGUGUGUAGAGGCACUCAGACGGAUUUUUAGAAGUUAAUUACAAAUUUUCUUGACUGUUUAGAGGCAGGAAGAUAAGAAAUAGUUCCGUGUAAUAUUCUUCUCUACUCUAAAGGCUCCUUUAAAAUUGUCCACAGCAAUGGUAUUUUUUAAAUGCUUUUCUAAGAUUUUCCUACUUAUAACUAAUGUUUACUUACGUGGAAUAGAAUGAUUUUUUUCUUUAGUUGUAAUCUGGCACUACUCUAUUAGAUUAUAUUUCCUAGGAUACAUUCCCACAUAAAGAAUUAUAAAUGCUCAUUCAUGACCAGAAUAAAAUUCAGGUACCUGUAUUGUUUUCAAACUUGGGUGAGAAAAGAGCUGAAGAAAAAGCCCUAAGAGUUGAGUGCUAGAGUGCCAUCUAGUGCUCCGUUAAUCAACACAUCUACUGGAACCUCUACGUUUUCCCUGCUCGCUCUUACGCCUGUUCUCAAAGGGCUUACUUGGAAAAGCUUAUUGCAAGUUCUGAAGGUUAUUAAUUGUUGAUGAUUGAGCCUUCUUCUGGCUCAUGCUGAGCAAUGGCAUGGAGGAGAAAGCUGAAACCAUUUUCCCAUGAACUUUACAUGUUCUGGGUGAAUUUACAGUGAGAUUCUUGAGUUGCAAAGAUAUGUAUGUGUAGCGUAUAUGUAUAUAUGAGAAGUCACGGUCAGUUAAACUUAAAGGCUCUGAUUCUUCAUAAUGGUGAUUGAAAAUUAAGAGAUUAUGAUAUACUGAUGCAGCAGCAGCGUGAAUAAAAGGAGAAUAAAACUACAAUGCUUCAAUUAAAAUUAACCUAGGAGUUUGGAAGCUAAUACAAACUAGAGGAACCUUCUGAAUCUGUAGUAUAAUCUGGACUUCCAAGUUCUGCAACUUCUCUUGGUGUCUUGGUGGGUCUGUCCAUGAGCUCCUUACAAAGAAACUAUUGAAUUGGGAAAAUUUAAGUAAAUUAACAAAAAAAAAAAACCCACCCAACUUUAAAGAAAAAAAUAAAAAUAAACCAAUAUUAGUUUAGCAGUUGCUUAAGUUAUUGUACACGGAUUAAUUCAAAUUUAAAUUUAUUUAUUUUGUGGGUGAAAUAAUGAGCUAGACAUGACUUAAGGGUAUGAGAUGAGUACCUGGACUUAGAUAAUCACAGAGAUGUUCGUUCAGAUCUGCAAUCAGGAUGUGAUAUCACUGUGACAGUACUAAUUUCAAAUAACUUUGAACUUUUUUUUUAGUUAAUGCUGUUGUUCAUGGUGAUGGAACUGGUGGUGCAUUUAAAGCAGAAUCUUAAAAAAUUGUAUAGACAUGACUAUUUCUGUGGAGUCAAUUUCUUUCUUUUUGAAAGAAAUUAAAAUGGAAGAAAAAU